GGCGGGGUAGCUCAGCUGGUUAGAGCGUCGGAUUCAUAACCCGGAGGUCACGAGUUCAAUUCCCGUCCCCGCUA
RNAcentral lists this transfer RNA (74 nucleotides) under Bacteroidota bacterium. Its description in RNAcentral is "tRNA-Met". It matches the Rfam family "tRNA". From Rfam's summary of the family: Transfer RNA (tRNA) molecules are approximately 80 nucleotides in length. Lineage: Bacteria; Pseudomonadati; Bacteroidota. The record is from RNAcentral.